UACGGAGGGUGCAAACGUUGUCCGGAAUCACUGGGCGUAAAGCGCAUGUAGGUGGUUUAGUAAGUCUGCGAUUAAAGACCGUCGCUUAACGACGGGACUGUUACAGAAACUACUUUACUUGAGGAUAGCAGAGGAACAUGGAACUUUGAGUGUAGGAGUGAUAUCCGUAGAUAUUCAAAGGAACACCAAUGGCGAAGGCAGUGCUCUGGGCUAUUUCUGACACUAAGAUGCGAAAGCGUGGGGAGCGAACGGG
RNAcentral lists this ribosomal RNA (253 nucleotides) under uncultured bacterium. RNAcentral describes it as "partial 16S ribosomal RNA". It matches the Rfam family "Bacterial small subunit ribosomal RNA", at positions 524 to 776 of the family's 1533-position model. The record is from RNAcentral.